UACGGGGGGGGCAAGCGUUGUUCGGAAUUACUGGGCGUAAAGGGCUCGUAGGUGGCCAACUAAGUCAGACGUGAAAUCCCUCGGCUUAACCGGGGAACUGCGUCUGAUACUGGAUGGCUUGGAGGUUGGGAGAGGGAUGCGGAAUUCCAGGUGUAGCGGUGAAAUGCGUAGAUAUCUGGAGGAACACCGGUGGCGAAGGCGGCGAUCCUGGACCAAUUCUGACGCUGAGGAGCGAAAGCCAGGGGAGCAAACCGGG
This 256-nucleotide ribosomal RNA is filed under the name uncultured bacterium. RNAcentral describes it as "partial 16S ribosomal RNA". It matches the Rfam family "Bacterial small subunit ribosomal RNA", at positions 524 to 777 of the family's 1533-position model. The record is from RNAcentral.